This is a long non-coding RNA of Beta vulgaris subsp. vulgaris (sugar beet), 562 nucleotides long. RefSeq lists it as uncharacterized. The record is from RefSeq and is a predicted model, not a curated record. Lineage: Eukaryota; Viridiplantae; Streptophyta; Magnoliopsida; Caryophyllales; Amaranthaceae. The transcript has 3 exons.
UCCAUUUGAGUUUUUACUUUUUGAAUGCUAGGUAUAAUUGAUAUUGUUAUAUAUGCAAGCCCUAUCACAUUGGCCAAAGAUAAUGUCACAUACCUACAAGAUAUUGUACUAAUUGAUAAAAGUUGCUUUGCAGUUAUGUUGACCAUAUCAAGUCAUUUCAUAUAUGGGCCGAAUGCACUGGACAAUAUUAAGGAUGCAAUUCCUUUCUUAAUAUGUGGAUUAACUGUGAAGAAGAAUAAUGGUAAUUGCCUACUCACUAUAUAAUAUUCAUUAAACUUAUUUUACUAAUGGCGUUGUUCCAACAUUGCGGUAUCAAUAAUAUGACAUGUGACAUUUUUGAUUGAAAUAGAUGGAAUUUCAUUACACUGUGGUAUUGAUACAACUAUAACAAUUGAUCCCAGAUGUAAAAAGGCAAGAAGAAUGAUGUGUUGGUUUUUGAAACAUCGGUUUGCCCAACACAAAGUAAAUUGGAUAAAAAGAAGCUCAUUUUCGUUAUUUAUAACUCUAAAAAUAUCUAAUGCAAGGCGAACAACAAUCAACGAAUUCAUGAACAUGGACCAUG